Long non-coding RNA from Ostrinia nubilalis (European corn borer), 419 nucleotides. RefSeq lists it as uncharacterized. The record is from RefSeq and is a predicted model, not a curated record. Lineage: Eukaryota; Metazoa; Arthropoda; Insecta; Lepidoptera; Crambidae. The transcript has 2 exons.
UGUGACAACCAGUAAAUAUUAAUUCUGGACGCAACUAACCAAAAAGUGUUUGUACUAAUAGUAGGUACUUAAAAGACUUUCAAAUCUACAUUCCAUCGUCUCGGAACAGAGUAUGAAGCACUUGGCAUAUGUAAUUCUGUUGCUAGUUAUUUUGAAGAUGGCCACCUGCCUGAUGGACGGGCUAUUCUUGAAUCCUGAAGUGUUGAAGGCAGACCACGAGAUCUUGAGAGGAAACCAUCUCAUGGACUACGAUCCUGUACGAGUAGACUACGUCAAUAAUGCGAUCAUCGAAAUACCCGUGGAUAACUUGGAGAUUGUUUUUGAUUUGAAAGAUAGCAUUGUGUAAUGAACUAAAAACGAAUAUUGUAAUUCAAUGGUUUUAAUUUUUUUUGUAUUAAAUAAAUAUAAUGUGUUUUAUA